Long non-coding RNA from Betta splendens (Siamese fighting fish), 842 nucleotides. RefSeq lists it as uncharacterized. The transcript has 3 exons. Lineage: Eukaryota; Metazoa; Chordata; Actinopteri; Anabantiformes; Osphronemidae. The record is from RefSeq and is a predicted model, not a curated record.
UCUCUCUCGCUGAGGCGGAGUUUACCCCCUCUGCUCAGCGCGAGGACGCGCCGCACUUGUCAGUCGCAGCUCGUGUGUGUGAGGCAGCGGACGGCGCGCCGCCUCCGUAGGGCUCCGCAGGCGGCGGCGGACGGACGCGCCGUCGCCUCCACGCUCCCCGCUGUUUUCACUUCGCCUCCUUUCGCCGGAUGCGAGCGGACACGAGAACCGGUAGAAACAGAUUAACCCGAGGCGGAUUUGAAAUCCUUGGAGGAUAUUGACGGCCGUGGAGCGGAGUUAGCCUGAUGUGCAAGAAAAUGGUCCCAAGGGUUCACAGUGAGGACGUCCAGCGGACGGAGAGAGGUCUGACCCCCUACAGACCGACGGUGCUCUGGAAAAUUACAGAUCAGCAGAACAGCACUUGCCUGAAGAAAACACGUUUUUGUGUUGACUUGACUUGAAAUAUGUUUUUUUUUUCUUAUUCCGCUGUGCCUUAAAAUGCUGUGCCUUAAAACAAGAAUGUAUUUAAAGUUUUACUGAGAAAUAAUAUAAUCAAAUACAUAUCAAAUAAAAUUAAUACUUUAUUUUUCUGAAUUUAUGAAUAAAUGAUGAUGUUUAUUGUGGGACAUGUGAAACCAUGAGGAUUAAAAUGCUGUGUCUGAUGUUCUAUACUUGUAACAAAUUUAUAAUGAAAAUAUGUUUUUAAUGUAUUUUUUUAUUGACAAUGAGAAGACUGAUCACUUAAAGUGUGUUUAAGUGGAAUAGGAUGAAGGAAAUGUGUUUUUCAGUGAGUGUAUGCUUUGGCGCGUUGUGGAUGUUUAAAUAUUCUGUCAUGUGGUCAAUAAAGAUGACAUUUACAUUCA